This 200-nucleotide unclassified non-coding RNA is filed under the name soil metagenome. RNAcentral's name for it is "partial contains internal transcribed spacer 2 and large subunit ribosomal RNA". The record is from RNAcentral.
AGCCCACUCAAGCCCAGCUUGGUAUUGGAUUUCGCCCCCCUUUCCCGGGGAGUGGAUCUCAAAAUCAGCGGCGGCGCAACUGGUCUCCAAGCGUAGUAACAUCACAUCCGCUCUGGCAGAUCCAGGUGACGCCCGCCGGAUAACCCCCCAAAUCAUCAAGGAUUGACCUCGGAUCAGGUAGGGAUACCCGCUGAACUUAA